Molecule: ribosomal RNA, 680 nt
Filed under: Kaupichthys hyoproroides (false moray)
Lineage: Eukaryota; Metazoa; Chordata; Actinopteri; Anguilliformes; Chlopsidae
Description: 12S rRNA
Rfam family: Bacterial small subunit ribosomal RNA
Source: RNAcentral
GAGCCGGCAUCAGGCACACAUACCAUGUAGCCCAAGACGCCUUGCUUAGCCACACCCCCAAGGGAACUCAGCAGUGAUAGAAAUUAGGCAAUGAGCGAAAGCUUGACCUAGUUAGAGCAUCCAAGAGCCGGUAAAACUCGUGCCAGCCACCGCGGUUAUACGGGUGCGCUCAAGAUGAUAUCCUACGGCGUAAAGCGUGAUUAGAGGUAAGACCAAACUAAAGCCGAACAACCCCCAAACUGUUAUACGUUAACGGGGUGAGGAAGACCCACAACGAAAGUAGCUUUAACCCUAACCCUUGAACUCACGACAGUUGAGAAACAAACUGGGAUUAGAUACCCCACUAUGCUCAACCGUAAACAAUGAUGUUUUAUUACAAAAACCUCCGCCAGGGGACUACGAGCAGAAGCUUAAAACCCAAAGGACUUGGCGGUGCCUCAAACCCACCUAGAGGAGCCUGUCCUAGAACCGAUAAUCCCCGUUAAACCUCACCUCUCCUUGUCCAUUCAGCCUAUAUACCGCCGUCGCCAGCUUACCUUUUGAGAGACCCACAGUAAGCCCAACGAGUACUACCCAAAACGUCAGGUCGAGGUGUAGCCAAUGGAGAGGGAAUGAGAUGGGCUACAUUCUCUGACCCAGAGUAAUACGAAAGAUAUAAUGAAAAAAUACUACUGAAGGUG